This 21-nucleotide unclassified non-coding RNA is filed under the name Chlamydomonas reinhardtii. Its description in RNAcentral is "small RNA Cre_0814". Lineage: Eukaryota; Viridiplantae; Chlorophyta; Chlorophyceae; Chlamydomonadales; Chlamydomonadaceae. The record is from RNAcentral.
AUUGGAUGCACCGUGCUCUGG